RNAcentral lists this long non-coding RNA (847 nucleotides) under Homo sapiens (human). RNAcentral's name for it is "non-protein coding lnc-PTCD2-5:1". The record is from RNAcentral. Lineage: Eukaryota; Metazoa; Chordata; Mammalia; Primates; Hominidae.
AAGUGCGCAGCGGGCGCCACUCGCCAUCCCCGCACCCAUGAGCAAAGAGGCCCAGGCCGAGCCGCCGCCGCGACACCAAACCCAGCACCAGGGGCAGCGCACAGGGAUCGGUGGCCAGGGUGCCUCACAUCGGCUGCGCCUGCCCGCGAGGACAAGAAGGAUGGGGUUUCAUCAGCGGGAAUGACACCAAGGAAGAUGUAUUUUGUACAGCAGACUGCCAUAAAGCAGCAGCAGCUCAGGAAUCACCUUCGCAGCGUGGUCGUGGAGAGCUGUGGAGUUUGGUGUUGAAGGAGCAAAGGGUGCGGAGGCGGCAAAUGCCACGGGCCCUGGUGGCGGUCCAGUACGAGGCAGUACAUGCAGCGACCGCAACCCUUUGAGACGCCAUCCGCACUGCAGGCGCCUCGUGCACUUAGCAGUAGGAUCAACAGAAUAGUGGGCGUGGGUGAAAAACAAGGGAUGGGAGCGCGCCCAAGGGCCAGGCCCAACCACGCGCCGGCUGCAGGCGCAGGGCCCCACCUACCACCUGCGGAGACCCACGGGCACGGACUACCACUCCAGCCCUCCUGCAGGAGCAGGGAUGGGGGUGCCCACAGUCAGGCGCAGGAGAACAGGGUAGACCAGGGAGGCAGGAUGUGCAGCCGGGACUCACACCCCAAUUCUCCUCGCCAGAGACAGCCAGCAGUGGACACCGACCAAGACGAUAAAGAAAAUCAAGGGGCUAAGACCCAAGGUGAGCAGCCGCCUCAACAUCAACUACCGACACAGACACCCAGAAAACUCUAAACCACAAGAUGGCAAAGAGACAAAAGCAAUCCAUCAGCUGAGAAUCCGGCUCCCAAGGCUGAGU